This is a long non-coding RNA of Falco peregrinus (peregrine falcon), 2181 nucleotides long. RefSeq lists it as uncharacterized. The record is from RefSeq and is a predicted model, not a curated record. NCBI's taxonomy places the organism in Eukaryota, Metazoa, Chordata, Aves, Falconiformes, Falconidae. The transcript has 3 exons.
UCAGGAGCCUCUUCCCGCCCCUGCGAGCGGGCCAGAGCAAGAAAAGGCAGCCGGCAGCGGAAUCCCCAGCCGUCGCCCCCGACUGCUGCUUUCUCCGCAAGCCUUUUAACUGCCGGGGAGGGCUGGGAGGCAGCGGCAGCUCAGGUGUCUGGCUGGUCUUGUGUCGUGACAGUCAGCUCCGGGGCCGGAGCAGCCGAGGGGAAGAGGCCUUUUGGUUUGCUUCCCAGCGAAACGGGGGCCUUUUGUUUUCCCUUUGUCCCUAGGUUCGUCCGGAAGCGUCCGUCGACAAGUCAAGGGGAGCGGAACCGAAGGUCGCUCGAGAUGUUACUUCGCCAGGCGUGCCUCGUGCUUGCGAGUCGGAGUGCUGACUACGGAGGGAUCCCUUUUGUAGCCGCCGAGGGCCCGCGAGGCUCCGUGUGCCCGCCGCUUCCGAGUGCUGCGCUGCGGCUCGGGCAACGGCCGGGGAGGAACUGUCGGUCCCUCGUGGUAACGCAGCCGGGCCUGCUAGGCGCUUAAAGCAGCGCGUCCGGCCGGGCAGUAUUGUUUUCCGAGGCUGUAAAGGAGCCCGAGGUAUAAACCCGCUUUACGUUUCCGUACGGCGGUGCGCUUUGUCGGAGAGCUCGGCCGUACUGACGGAGCUGGCACAGGGUUCCCGCGGGACUCCGGCUUUGCCCGUCUCGUGGAAAGGCUCCAGAGCCUGCUUGGGAAGCCGCUUGACAAGGCACGGCUUUGCCGUGAUUUUUACGCCGGAAUUCCGACGGUAACGCCGAUGCCACGUGUUAGCCUUUCUCCAGCAGCUCUUCAAAGCAGAGUGAGCCUUAAGAAUCGGACUGCCUUGUAACGAAAUUCGAAACAAAGCGGCGGGGUGAAGCGGCUGGAAGCGUCCUGCCAGUCUGCCGUGGGUAUCGCUGCCGUGCGUGUUACCUGCCUGUCUGCCGAUCGCUCCUGCCUCUUGUUGUGCCCCGGGCCUCGGCUGUUGCGUGCAGAGAAGCUGUCAGCCUUGUGAGAGAGCACGCCGCCGGCAAGCGCGUCGUGGUGCUUCGGUACCGAGCUGAGACCGCAGGCGUCCGUCUUUUGUUUGCGAAAAGGGAUCGCGAGGAAAGGUGCUGACCUCGGAGGGGGAGAGGUGGCGGGGGAACAGGUAGGAGGCAGCUCUUUCAACCGGUUUUAGGCUUAACUCCUGGGUGCCUGAGCACGGUUCUGGGCUUCGGGGGGUUGGCUUUCGGCUUUUCGCCUUCAGCGCGUCCUCCGUCACCGCUGUCGGCGCGCGCUGAGCUGCGGCUCAGGGGACCGCGGCGAUACAGGCCGUGUGCGUGCCAGCCGUCCUCAAGGCUAGAGCUGUAUUCUGCUUGUUACCCUGAUGGAAGCGUUUCUUUUUUUCUAGGGGGCGUUCCCACAAGGCAGCGGUGUGGAGCCGAAGGGGACUGCGAUUGAACGGGGACGGAGCCGUUUGGACCGAGUCUUGAAGAUCUCUCGGGUUUUUGUCCGAGGAAACUUCGUCUCGAGACGGUCCUAUCGCUCGCUGGCAACGUGACUAGUUGAAUCGAGAAUGUUCGCUGCCGGAACUUCAUCCACCGAGAUGGGAAGCCAGGCAACUUCCUAACGGGCCGUGGGCAGAGUUCCCUUCUUGAUGCCGUGCCUCUAUAAUAAACUGUGCAGUCCGUUAGCUGGACGGGCUGCAGUACCCAAAUUUUUUCGCCAGGUGGCAGCACCGCGCCCCCCCCCGGCGGAGUAAGGGCAGCGCAUGCGCAGACGCGGCAUGACGCCGAAGGGGGCGUGGCCUCCGGGCACGUCGCGGGCCGAUGACGCAAUCCCGCUUUGGCGCAUGCGCAGAAGGGCUUUCUGGCCAAGUAAGGUCAGCGCAUGCGCAGAAGCGGCUUUGACCCUCAGGGGCGGGGCUUCCGGCCCCGUGCGUCCGGGCCGAUGACGCAAUCCCGCUUUGGCGCAUGCGCAGAAGGGCUUUCUGGCCAGGUAAGGUCAGCGCAUGCGCAGAAGCGGCUUUGACCCUCAGGGGCGGGGCUUCCGGCCCCGUGCGUCUGGGCCGAUGACGCAAUCCCGCUUUGGCGCAUGCGCAGAAGCCUUGCUGGCCGACGGAGGGCGGCGCAUGCGCAGAAGCGGCUUUGACCCCCCCCUAGGGGCGGGGCUUCCGGCCUCGUGCGUAGGGGCAGAGGACGCAUCCGG